RNAcentral lists this ribosomal RNA (503 nucleotides) under uncultured bacterium. RNAcentral's name for it is "partial 16S ribosomal RNA". It matches the Rfam family "Bacterial small subunit ribosomal RNA", at positions 29 to 507 of the family's 1533-position model. The record is from RNAcentral.
AACGAACGCUGGCGGCGUGCCUAACACAUGCAAGUCGAACGAGAAAGGGGCUUCGGCUCCGAGUAAAGUGGAGCACGGGUGAGUAACACGUGGGUAACCUGCCUCUAAGAUUGGGAUAACUCGUCGAAAGAUGAGCUAAUACCGAAUAAGACCACAGUUCCCGCGGGAACAGGGGUCAAAGGUAGCCUCUGCUUGCAAGCUAUCACUUAGAGAUGGGCCUGCGCACCAUUAGCUAGUUGGUAGGGUAACGGCCUACCAAGGCAAAGAUGGUUAGCUGGUCUGAGAGGAUGAUCAGCCACACUGGAACUGAGACACCGUCCAGACUCCUACGGGAGGCAGCAGUGGGGAAUAUUGCGCAAUGGGCGAAAGCUUGACGCAGCAACGCCGCGUGAGUGAUGAAGGCCUUCGGGUCGUAAAGCUCUGUCGGGAGGAACGAAUGCUCCUGAGGUUAACAGCCUCGGGAGGUGACGGUACCUUCAAAGGAAGCACCGGCUAACUCUGUG